UCAUGAAAAAUUUGUCGUGGU
This 21-nucleotide non-coding RNA is filed under the name Caenorhabditis elegans. Lineage: Eukaryota; Metazoa; Nematoda; Chromadorea; Rhabditida; Rhabditidae. The record is from RNAcentral.